UCCGAUUUGGCACCGGCGGUCUCCCAUGAGUCCCCGGCAUUACCCGCUGGCAACAUGGGACAGGGGUUGCGCUCGUUAUAGGACUUAACCUGACAUCUCACGACACGAGCUGACGACAGCCAUGCACCACCUGUCACCCAGUCCGAAGAGGGCCCCAUCUCUGAGGCUUUCCGGGUGAUGUCAAACCCAGGUAAGGUUCUUCGCGUUGCAUCGAAUUAAGCCACAUGCUCCACCGCUUGUGCGGGCCCCCGUCAAUUCCUUUGAGUUUCAUUCUUGCGAACGUACUCCCCAGGUGGUGUGCUUACUGCGUUAACUGCGUCACGGACCCGGAAGGGCCCACAACUAGCACACAUCGUUUACAGCGUGGACUAC
This 372-nucleotide unclassified non-coding RNA is filed under the name uncultured bacterium. RNAcentral describes it as "contains 16S-23S intergenic spacer region". The record is from RNAcentral.